UACGUAGGGGGCUAGCGUUGUCCGGAUUUAUUGGGCGUAAAGAGCGUGUAGGCGGCCGGGUAGGUCUGCUGUGAAAACUCGAGGCUCAACCUCGAGACGUCGGCGGAAACCAUCUGGCUAGAGUCCGGAAGAGGAGAGUGGAAUUCCUGGUGUAGCGGUGAAAUGCGCAGAUAUCAGGAAGAACACCAAUGGCGAAGGCAGCUCUCUGGGACGGUACUGACGCUGAGACGCGAAAGCGUGGGGAGCGAACAGG
This 253-nucleotide ribosomal RNA is filed under the name uncultured bacterium. RNAcentral's name for it is "partial 16S ribosomal RNA". It matches the Rfam family "Bacterial small subunit ribosomal RNA", at positions 524 to 776 of the family's 1533-position model. The record is from RNAcentral.